Molecule: ribosomal RNA, 573 nt
Filed under: Bos taurus (domestic cattle)
Lineage: Eukaryota; Metazoa; Chordata; Mammalia; Artiodactyla; Bovidae
Description: similar to 12S ribosomal RNA
Rfam family: Bacterial small subunit ribosomal RNA
Source: RNAcentral
CUUACACAUGCAAGUAUCUACACCCCAGUGAGAAUGCCCUCUAGGUUAUUAAAACUAAGAGGAGCUGGCAUCAAGCACACACCCUGUAGCUCACGACGCCUUGCUUAACCACACCCCCACGGGAAACAGCAGUGACAAAAAUUAAGCCAUAAACGAAAGUUUGACUAAGUUAUAUUAAUUAGGGUUGGUAAAUCUCGUGCCAGCCACCGCGGUCAUACGAUUAACCCAAGCUAACAGGAGUACGGCGUAAAACGUGUUAAAGCACCAUACCAAAUAGGGUUAAAUUCUAACUAAGCUGUAAAAAGCCAUGAUUAAAAUAAAAAUAAAUGACGAAAGUGACCCUACAAUAGCCGACGCACUAUAGCUAAGACCCAAACUGGGAUUAGAUACCCCACUAUGCUUAGCCCUAAACACAGAUAAUUACAUAAACAAAAUUAUUCGCCAGAGUACUACUAGCAACAGCUUAAAACUCAAAGGACUUGGCGGUGCUUUAUAUCCUUCUAGAGGAGCCUGUUCUAUAAUCGAUAAACCCCGAUAAACCUCACCAUUCUUGCUAAUACAGUCUAUAUACCG